AUAUUUGUACUGAAAUCAGUAGCCCUUCACGGACAUAUCACCCAGGGUGAGGAUCAGCAAUUGCACUCCGAUUGACCGCUACGAAUUUCCCAAAUGUGGAAAUCUCAAUUUAAUCAUUUCUGCUAGUGUGGGACUGCGUUCGCGCUCUCCCCUG
Molecule: small nuclear RNA, 154 nt
Organism: Oncorhynchus mykiss (rainbow trout)
Lineage: Eukaryota; Metazoa; Chordata; Actinopteri; Salmoniformes; Salmonidae
Gene: U1
Rfam family: U1 spliceosomal RNA
About the family: U1 is a small nuclear RNA (snRNA) component of the spliceosome (involved in pre-mRNA splicing). Its 5' end forms complementary base pairs with the 5' splice junction, thus defining the 5' donor site of an intron.
Source: Ensembl